GGGUCGAAGGUGGACGUCCUGUCUCCAGAUCUUGACAUGAUAUCUAACUUGGGACACCUCCUUAAAAAAAAAGGGAGCACACAUUUCACACAGUCAAUUUCAUAGUCAUUCAUUCCCCGUGACAAAAUGUCCAUCCUAGCGACUUCAGCUGAGCUGAAACUGCUAAUUCUGUGACCAGGCUUCUUUCUCUGGGUGAAUGAAUAUCUCACAGGAGAGGGAGAAAAAAAAGACUCUGUCCCACAAAAUAUUUUUCUCCUCAUCUUUCACAUGCAUGGAUUUAUGAAGGUGGAUGAACAAUGCAAUCUUCAGAUGAUGGCACAAACUUUCUUACCAUUUUAUUGCCUGUGCAGUUGCAUAAGAUGACAUACCAGUACCGUGCUGUCUGCUGUAAUGAAUUGCACGGAUUCUAUCCCAUUAAUACUGUUGAUGCAUUGAAACAAAGAAAUGAUUAUCCACUUGAUAUUACGAUCGUUGGAAAUUAUCAGAUUGUCUUGUUAAUGUCUUGGCAACACUGACAUUUUUGUUAUUAAGACUUUCUCUUUCAAUUGCAUCAGAUGACAUACAUUGUCAGACCAACACUGCUAUAAUGAAUUAGUCUGGCUUAUAUUACACUAACACCAUUGCGGCAUAACACAUAGAAGUUAUUAUCCGACUCCUAUCAGAUUCAUUUAAAAUAAAGCAGAUUGCCUUUAUAAUGGAUCCAAGUACAGGCAAAUAAAAUGGCACACAGAG
Molecule: long non-coding RNA, 732 nt
Organism: Leucoraja erinaceus (little skate)
Lineage: Eukaryota; Metazoa; Chordata; Chondrichthyes; Rajiformes; Rajidae
Exons: 2
Source: RefSeq, a predicted model, not a curated record